This is a long non-coding RNA of Acanthopagrus latus (yellowfin seabream), 281 nucleotides long. RefSeq lists it as uncharacterized. Lineage: Eukaryota; Metazoa; Chordata; Actinopteri; Spariformes; Sparidae. The record is from RefSeq and is a predicted model, not a curated record. The transcript is spliced from 2 exons.
CCUGACCAGGUAGCUGCCACAUGUUUUUGCUAUGUUAUUAUUUUUUGUUUUCUUACUUUUAGUGGUAAUCCUGAGUGGGGGUACGCUUCACUUUUUUGCAGUUGAUAAGAUUCCUGGUCUUCGGUUAAAGAUGCCUCGAGUUGUGGUUGUGGUAACUGUGCUCCACUUCUGUUGGGUCACUUGUGGUUGCAGCAUUGGGUUCCCAGGAGCUGAUCCUGUUCCAGACUGCCAGCAUGUUUUGUGUACAAGAUGUGUUUUUGAAUAAAACCAUUUAAAUGCUU